AUUGAACGCUGGCGGCAUGCCUUACACAUGCAAGUCGAACGGUAACAGGUUAAGCUGACGAGUGGCGAACGGGUGAGUAAUAUAUCGGAACGUGCCCAGUCGUGGGGGAUAACGCAGCGAAAGCUGUGCUAAUACCGCAUACGAUCUACGGAUGAAAGCGGGGGAUCGCAAGUCCUCGCGCGAUUGGAGCGGCCGAUAUCAGAUUAGCUAGUUGGUGGGGUAAAAGCCCACCAAGGCGACGAUCUGUAGCUGGUCUGAGAGGACGACCAGCCACACUGGAACUGAGACACGGUCCAGACUCCUACGGGAGGCAGCAGUGGGGAAUUUUGGACAAUGGGCGAAAGCCUGAUCCAGCAAUGCCGCGUGCAGGACGAAGGCCUUCGGGUUGUAAACUGCUUUUGUACGGAACGAAACGGUCUCUUCUAAUAAAGGGGGCUAAUGACGGUACCGUAAGAAUAAGCACCGGCUAACUACGUGCCAGCCGCCGCGGUAA
This 493-nucleotide ribosomal RNA is filed under the name uncultured bacterium. RNAcentral describes it as "partial 16S ribosomal RNA". It matches the Rfam family "Bacterial small subunit ribosomal RNA", at positions 30 to 523 of the family's 1533-position model. The record is from RNAcentral.